AGAGACCGGCGCACGGGUGCGUAACGCGUAUGCAAUCUACCUUUCACAGAGGGAUAGCCCAGAGAAAUUUGGAUUAAUACCUCAUAGUAUUAUAGAAUGGCAUCAUUUUAUAAUUAAAGUCACAACGGUAAAAGAUGAGCAUGCGUCCCAUUAGCUAGUUGGUAAGGUAACGGCUUACCAAGGCGACGAUGGGUAGGGGUCCUGAGAGGGAGAUCCCCCACACUGGUACUGAGACACGGACCAGACUCCUACGGGAGGCAGCAGUGAGGAAUAUUGGACAAUGGGCGCAAGCCUGAUCCAGCCAUGCCGCGUGCAGGAAGACGGUCCUAUGGAUUGUAAACUGCUUUUAUACAGGAAGAAACACUCCGACGUGUCGGAGCUUGACGGUACUGUAGGAAUAAGGAUCGGCUAACUCCGUGCCAGCAGCCGCGGUAAUACGGAGGAUCCAAGCGUUAUCCGGAAUCAUUGGGUUUAAAGGGUCCGUAGGCGGUUUAAUAAGUCAGUGGUGAAAUCUGGUCGCUCAACGAUCAA
RNAcentral lists this ribosomal RNA (531 nucleotides) under uncultured Flavobacterium sp. RNAcentral's name for it is "bacterial SSU rRNA". It matches the Rfam family "Bacterial small subunit ribosomal RNA", at positions 90 to 619 of the family's 1533-position model. Lineage: Bacteria; Pseudomonadati; Bacteroidota; Flavobacteriia; Flavobacteriales; Flavobacteriaceae. The record is from RNAcentral.